This 465-nucleotide ribosomal RNA is filed under the name uncultured bacterium. Its description in RNAcentral is "partial 16S ribosomal RNA". It matches the Rfam family "Bacterial small subunit ribosomal RNA", at positions 28 to 507 of the family's 1533-position model. The record is from RNAcentral.
GAUGAACGCUGGCGGCGUGCUUAACACAUGCAAGUCGAACGGAAAGGCUCCUGCUUUCCGGGGUACUCGAUUGGCGAACGGGUGAGUAACACGUGGGGGAUCUGCCCUUCACUUCGGGAUAAGCCUGGGAAACUGGGGCUAAUACCGGAUAGGACGUAGUGUUGGAUGCCGUUGUGGAAAGAAUUUCGGUGUUGGUUGAGCUCUCGGCUGAUGAGCUGGUUGGUGGGGUAUUGGCUAACGAAGGCGUUGACGGGUAGCCGGCUGGGGAGGGUGUACGGCAACAAUGGGACUGAGAUACGGCCCAGACUCCUACGGGAGGCAGCAGUCGGGAAUAUUGCGCAAUGGGGGCAAGCCUGAUGCAGCGGCGCCGCGUGCGGGAUGACGGCCUUCGGGUUGUAAACUCCUUUCGCUGGGGACGAAGCGCAAUUGACGGUACCUGGAGAAGAAGCCCCGGCUAACUACGUG